AAAAUGCCAACGUGGUAGGUCCCAUGACUGGACGGACUGUCCAUACUCUCAUCCCGGUGAAAAAGCUCGCCGGAGAGACCCUCAAAAAUACAAUUAUUCCGGCAAUCCUUGCCCGGAGUUUCGCAAAUUAGGAAACUGCACCAAAGGUGAUUCUUGCCACUUCGCUCAUGGUGUUUUUGAAUGCUGGCUUCAUCCUUCUCGUUACAGAACUCAGCUUUGUAACGACGGAACCCUUUGCCGGAGACGAGUUUGUUUCUUUGCUCAUACCAUUGAUCAACUCCGUGUCUCAAAUAACGCUUCACCGGAAUCAUUUGUUUCAUCUCCUACCUCAGUUCUUGAUUCUUCUCCAAGAAAAUCUCGAUACGGUGUCCCACCGGUGAACGUGAGGGAAUUAGUUGGCUUCAUGAGGAGUGUUAGGGUUGAUGAAUGGAGUCCGGUGUCUAAGAUGGGUUCUGUGUUUGGUUCUCCACGACCACGAGGUGGUUUUUUGAGUCUUCCAUCAAACUAUGAAGGGGUUGGUAUGGAGAGGGUGGAAUCAGGAAGAGAUCUUAG
Molecule: long non-coding RNA, 552 nt
Filed under: Medicago truncatula (barrel medic)
Lineage: Eukaryota; Viridiplantae; Streptophyta; Magnoliopsida; Fabales; Fabaceae
Description: long non-coding RNA (MTRU_LNC001181)
Source: RNAcentral